RNAcentral lists this transfer RNA (70 nucleotides) under Dryolimnas cuvieri aldabranus. RNAcentral describes it as "tRNA-Lys". Lineage: Eukaryota; Metazoa; Chordata; Aves; Gruiformes; Rallidae. The record is from RNAcentral.
UAAUCGUUAAGAAGCUAUGUGACAGCACUAGCCUUUUAAGCUAGAGAUAGAGGUUUAGCAACACCUCCUU